GUGUACAGCAAAGUAAAUGUGCAGAGGGUUACAUCCUAAAUUGCCUAGGUAUACUGUAAAUAUAUGGGCAAGAUCUGGCCAGCAUUAAACAUUUUAAAAUCCCAUUGAUUUCGUGGGGGAAAUGUUUAGCAUUCCCAUUGAAAUAAAUGGCAUAUAAAAGGCCUUAAUUUUUAUAUCCCACUGAUCUGAAAGGGGAAAUGAAGCAGCUGCUGAAUACUGGAACACUUGGCAGCUUUGAAAUGCUCUGAUCCAAAGGGCUUGUUUUUAUUUGACAAAUGACUUUAAAAGCUGCCUUACUGUAAAUCCAAGACCAGGAGGAGAAUAAUUGCAUGGUGGGAAGAAUGGAUCCCAGGCUGUGAAGCAUCAUGGCCAAUGUACCAAGAUGGCCCUGAGCAGAUUUACAAGGAGGCAGCCUUCAAGCUGCAACUAAAACUGUCCAUCUUCGCUGCCUGAGCAAAACAACUGCAAGACAAACUUGUGCAGGUUGUGCGGCUGCCUUGGGGGUGGGGAAGCCUGAUCUACAUCCCAUUUCACAUCUCACCAACUGUGCUGACUCAAAGUGGGAGAAUUUCCUCGGAGGCUGCAGGCACAGCUACAGCAUCUCAACUUAGCAAAGUCUCUUGAUCGGUCAAAGAGAUGCCAUGCAUUGCGACUUGCUGUUAUUUUUAUUAAUUAUAGUUAAGUAAUUAUUUACUGUAGUUGUUAAGAGUAAACUGUUUAAUUAUUAUUUGCUGAUACUUAAU
This 743-nucleotide long non-coding RNA is filed under the name Podarcis lilfordi (Lilford's wall lizard). Lineage: Eukaryota; Metazoa; Chordata; Lepidosauria; Squamata; Lacertidae. The record is from RNAcentral.